This is a long non-coding RNA of Mytilus trossulus (common blue mussel), 994 nucleotides long. RefSeq lists it as uncharacterized. The transcript is spliced from 3 exons. NCBI's taxonomy places the organism in Eukaryota, Metazoa, Mollusca, Bivalvia, Mytilida, Mytilidae. The record is from RefSeq and is a predicted model, not a curated record.
UACAGGUCCGUGUAAGAAUCAGGCAAAUCAAAUAAAAACUGAUAAGUCCAUAUACACGGAAUAUGGUGAAAUUUUGGGAACUUUGUAAUCCAUUAAUAAAAGUGACAAAACCAUAGUAUUACAUCGAUGUAUGCCAUAUUUGUCUAGAAAAAAAUAGAUUGAAUGCAUUCGCCGUCUGCAUCUACGACAGUGUAAUGCAUUGAAAGUAGGUCAACUUUGAUAUUGAUUUUCUGUAAACAGCAGAUGCCUAGCACACAAUUUUUUUUAUAUUUGAAAUCAUUUGAUACAUAUCUUCUCUUUCAAUGAAUAAAAAGUUUGGAAAUUUUUAUUUGAAAAAUGUUAUUCACUAAAGUAAAAUCAUCGAAACGCGUCAUUGACUGUAUUGUUUAUCUCCCUUGCUUGGUUACCUCUUUUUAAAAAAGGCGCGUAAUCUGCACAACAACAAUAACAAAUGGCAGACGAGAUGGUCCCGCCGGACAUGAAGGGCAGUAUAAGUCUGUUUUAACCUAUUCAUGUGGGGUUUACUCCUUUAUGUAAUCAGGAUAAAAGUGUACGAAAGCUCGCUGAAUGUUAUAAGACAUAACGCCGCGGCAUUGACAGAUCUCGGACUGUGUGGAGGUUGCCAGACUACACGAACCAGCCGUGGACAAUGCCAAUGAAGGAGAGUUGAUAGCACUGAUAUGUGGUAUUUUCAGCAUAGAAUUGUCACCCAUGUUUUAGAAUCUGUGAAACAGGAUUGGUUGUGUGUGGCUUCACUUCUUCAGAAUUUUAUAAUGACUAUAAAUAUCAACUUCCUUAAAGUAAGAAGUUAGAUCUUCUAUCAGAUAAUGCAGCAUGCUACAUUUACCACUGUGGACAUACAUGUAUCUGGUUAUGCUUACAAGAAAUAAGUAAAAGAACAGGGAUCAAUAUUCAGGGGUAUUGCUAGUCUGAAGCCCAUGCAGGAAAGUGAUAUUGUGAUUCAAAGAUGGCAAAUAUGUGCAAAAAGAUGAAA